This 418-nucleotide ribosomal RNA is filed under the name uncultured bacterium. RNAcentral's name for it is "bacterial SSU rRNA". It matches the Rfam family "Bacterial small subunit ribosomal RNA", at positions 29 to 433 of the family's 1533-position model. The record is from RNAcentral.
AACGAACGCUGGCGGCGUGGAUAAGACAUGCAAGUCGAACGGGAUUGCUUCUGUAGCAAUACAGGAGCAGUCUAGUGGCGUAAGGGUGCGUAACACGUGGGCAAUCUGCCGAGAAGUGGGGGAUAGCUCGCCGAAAGGCGAAUUAAUACCGCAUGUGGCCAGGGAAGACAUCUUCCUGACGCCAAAGCCGGGGCAACCUGGCGCUUCUUGAUGAGCCCGCGGCCUAUCAGCUUGUUGGCGGGGUAACGGCCCACCAAGGCUAUGACGGGUAGCUGGUCUGAGAGGACGACCAGCCACACUGGAACUGAGACACGGUCCAGACACCUACGGGUGGCAGCAGUCGAGAAUUUUUCNCAAUGGGGAAACCCUGAAGGAGCGACGCCGCGUGGAGGAUGAAGGUCUUCGGAUUGUAAACUCC